This is an RNA transcript of Ictalurus furcatus (blue catfish), 5656 nucleotides long. It is a transcript of the gene named zinc finger matrin-type 1, with no coding region annotated. The transcript is spliced from 10 exons. NCBI's taxonomy places the organism in Eukaryota, Metazoa, Chordata, Actinopteri, Siluriformes, Ictaluridae. The record is from RefSeq and is a predicted model, not a curated record.
AAUAAAGCAGGAUAGAAUAAUGAGAGCGCUCUGAAGCGCUUGUGCUGAACCACUACUAUAGAUAUGAAACGCAGAGCAUGACACACUUCUGUGUACCGAUAAGAAGCAGUUUGAGGCAAUUCAAACAGGCUUUGUUUUAGGGUCUUGGAAAAUGUGCAGACAAACCUUGAACAGAAGAACAUGUUUGUGUCUCUGUAAGCAGAUAAAAAUUCUGUACUGAUCUCAGUGACAUGACAUGGCCUUCUUAGGUGUUAUCCUAUCCUCAGAUGAACAUAAAAACAACAAGAACAAAACUAUUUCAAAUUUGGAGAAGACCCACAUAUGAUGGUGAUGGCCAUCGUGUAUUUCCACUGGGAAAUUUGAAUACAUGUUAAUCUUUGUACAUCUUCUGUUGCACUCAAAAUCAAACGAAAGCAUUUUAGCUUUAUUUCAAUGCUGCUUUAUCCCUGUGCACUAGCUUAUAUUUAUAUGUUUUUUGAUGAUUUUACUGGUACAUGUUCAUUUAAGUUAAUUUAAUACAGGCGAGUACAGGAGUGCGUCCGGCGCAUGCGCAGUGCCCCACACCCGCCCUGUUAUAUUUGGCUAGUCAGUGCUGUUUAGUUAUGUCGGUUAAGGUAGCUGUACCUUUUCCGCUUUGAGACUUUUUAAAAAAAUGUCAGUGUCUGAGGACAGCGUAUCGUGUCCGACUGAAAACAGUGUCACUGUUCAUUUAGACUCGGCCUCUGUCUCAGACGCCGAAACAGUGCUAAAAAAUCCUAAUGUCCAUAGUUGUCAUGUUGAAGAAGAAACCGAGAAUGACAGUGAGCUUCUUAAAGGCUUGCUAACCGACACCUUCUGUCAGGUGUGUGAGGCGGUGUUGAUGUUUGAGUCUCAGAGAGUCUCUCAUUAUGAGGGGAAGAAGCAUGCUCAGCGCGUUCGAAUCUACCUGCAGAACAAGAAAGCUGAAAGGAACAAGCAGAGCAGCUUUCAGAGUGUUAGUGCGGAUCCGGAGAAGUUCUGCGAGCUGUGCAAUAUGGUGUUUAGCUCGCCUGUGGUCGCCAAGUCUCACUAUGAGGGAAAAGUCCAUGCCAAGAACACAAGGAAGUCCAGCGCCACAUCCUCUGUAGAUGCCAGGACCACGGUGAGUUCAGCGGCUCCUCCUGUAACUGCCGUGGAGGACGCAGCAGAGGCGAGCGCAUGGGACGACAUGGUUCAGGAACAGAAGGAAAGCACAGUGUGUGCUGCCCAGGGGGUCGACCUGAGUGACCCAGACAAGUACUGCAAGUUAUGCGCGGCUUCGUUUAACAACCCGAUGAUGGCCGCUGAACACUACAGCGGUCGCAAGCAUCAGCGUAACCUGGCCCGCCAGGAGCUGCACAAUAAGCUGGGAGAACUGUCUGAGCAAGCAACCUCCCUCACAUGUCCAAUCUGCGAUGUGACUCUCAGCUCCAUGGACACAUACCAGGCUCACAUGAAAGGCAAUAAACACCAGAUAAAAGAAAAGAAGACGCAAGACGAUUUAUGCAAAAAGAAGGUGUACGACUCGUUCCAGGACGAGCUGGCCGACUACAUCCAGGUGCAGAGGUCUCGGGGACUGGAGCCCAAAACGGGUCAGGGAUCUGAAAAUCAGGGACCGAGGAAAGCAGAGAGUGUAGUAGACGAGAGCGGAGAGUGUUGUGACCAGCCCCAGAUUCUGUCUCUCCAAUCCCGUCUUCCUGCCCCUGCCUUCCGAACGCAGCCCUGGCGCCCACCGUUUCAUCCUCACCCCAAUCCUGUCGCUUUCAGAGGGCGAUUCCCAGUGCCGAACCAAUGGGAUCAGGGUUACUCAUCCUACCCUCCUCCCCUCAUCCCUGGGCUAACAGGAAGAGCAUUACAUAGAGGGAGGAGCCCAGAAUCUUUUAGCUCCUCGUCUUCGUUCUCAGACUCCUCGUCUUCGUAUAGUAGCAGCAGCAGCGAGGACAGCAGAGACAGACGGAGGAGGAGGAGGAAAAAGAGACGAGAAGGAACAAAGAAAAGAAGAGAAGAAGAUGGUGAUUCAGAAGGGGACGUGCAGAGAAGGAGCAGAGAGAGGAGAAGGAAGGACGAUGGCAGUGCAAAGAAACCAAAACGACACAGAGGAAGCUCUGAUGAAGAUCACGGAAAGAGAUGGAAGGAGAAAAAGCACAGAGAAAGAGUUACCAAGAAGAGACGGAGAGAAGAGGACGAAGGAGAUUGGACCAGAGUGUCUCAUGUAGCGAUGACGAAAGGUGAGGGAGAAGGAGAAGCACAGAGUGAAGGACUUAAAGAGGAGAAAGCGAAGCACAAAAAAGAGAAAAAGAAACCGAAGGACAGAGAGGACAACCGGACAGAAGAGGAAAAGCUGUGGGACGAAACCAUUGUGGGGAUAUUCUGAUAGACGAUGAUUGUGAACACUCAUUCAUCCUACGUGGAAAGCGCAUGGAACCACACCUAAUCGGCCCUGGACAUAAGGAAGGGAAGAGAGAAGUCAGCACUCACUCAAAAAGAGUUGCAGGACGACCUGAAAGCAGCAGGAACAGCAUUUACACAGAAACCAAUAAGCAAUGAAGUGUAGUACAAUCACCUCUGUUCGUAAUCCUCAUGCAAAUCCCCGAUGCGAAAAAGAAAAAGCACAGAGAUGUGCAUCUAUAAGCAUUUAGACGAAUCAGAGCUCUUGGAACGAUAUACUCUGGUCAGAUGAAAUAAAAACAGAACUCUCUGACAGUAAUUGAAGAUGAUUUUCCAGGAGGACCGAGCUAAAAUUGAACCGCAAUACUUACCAUGCUUACCAUAGACGCCUUGAAGCUGUAACAAUGGCUUGAACAAUGGCUUUGCAACAAAGUAUUAAUGCUGAUUCUGGAAAAGGUUCAGAAGUGGAUGAAUCAGUAGCCUGGGACAAGCAGAUUUAUUAUGCUCAGCGGGUUAACAGACACAAGUAUUUUUUCUUCUCUUAUUUGUUAACGAAAGAAAGAAGCAUCUCUACUCGCUAUUGACUUGCAAAAGUUCUGGGACGUAUAUUUAAAUUGUGCUUGAUGUGACACACCUCGAUGGUCUAACUCAGCAGUUCUCAAACUUUUUUUUUGGCAGCUUUUGCAUUAGUAUUAAAUUCAUUUUUGUGAUAUGUAAUCCUAGUUAAGUCCAUUUCAGUUACAGGUUGUAACACUACAAAAUGUGGAAAACGUCAUGGGGGUGAAUACUUACGCACAGCAGUGUUGUACUCUCAAGACGGGUGCAGUAACACAAAAUCUGACUCAGGGAGGCGCAGUUCGACUGCAAGAGUGUGUCCUGUUUGUCUCUGUGAGGAAAAACUAACGUUUGCUGUGAUGUAUAUGCAACAGAGUAAGUAUUUGUAUGAUUUGAUGUAGACGAGACCUUUUUUCCCCAAAUUUGUAUGCGAGUUGCCUGCUUAGGAUUUAUUACAUGCUCAUUAUUAUACAAGUUCUAUAUUAAUGUCUGAAGCUCUGCUGUUAGGAUAGUGUGUGUGCUUGAAUAUAUUUUUGUCUUGUAUGACAGGUGUGUUUAGGGCAAAUGAGGACACUUGGCUUUUACAGCUCACACCUGGCUCUCAGGUUAGACCUCAUUUGCCCCGAAUGAAAGGAUGAAGUACUGAAAUAUAGUACAUAGCCAAAAAAAAAAAAAUUUAAAAAAAAUGCUAUAUUAACACAGUGGAUAUUUAAAAAAAAAAAAAAAAAAAAGUCAUCGAAAUUGCAGGUUUUUAUGAUGUAAAGUCAAAAAUCAAGACAAAUCAUAUCUAAAAUUGUUCAUAUUUAACGUGAUCUUGAAACGAAUUGAUAAUUAUCAGAGGAAAAAAAAAAUUCUCUGACACUUCUCAGCCCACUUUGCUGUCAGAACAGCCUUAAUUCUUCAUGGUAUAAAUGCCACAAGGUGCUGGACAUAUUCCUUUGAGAUUCUGGUCCACAUUGAUAUGAUAUUGAUAUUGCAUCAGAUAAUUGCUGCAGAUGUGUCACUUGUGUGGCUUGUGUUCUACCACAUCCCAAAAGAUUUAGAUCUGAACCUGGGGAGACCUCUGAACUCAUGGUCAUGCUCAUGGAGCCAGUUGUGCAUUCUGAGAUGCUUUUCUGCUCACCAUGGAUGUAAGGAGUGGUUGUUUGAGUAACCAUAGUCUUCCUGUCAGCUCUAUUCUGACCUCUCUCAUCAACAAGGCAUUGCCACCUGUAGAACCACCGCUUAUUGGAUGUUUUUUUGCACCAUCCUAUGUAAACUCUAGAGAUUGUUUUGUGUGAAAUCAUGCCAUGGUCAGUCACUGAGAUUCCAUUUUUCCCCAUUCUGAUGUUUGAUGUAAACAUUAACUGAAGCCUUUGAUUUGUAUCUGCAUGAUUUUAUGCACUGUACAGCUGUCAUAUGAUUGGCUGAUUGGAUAAUUACAUAACUGUGCAGGUAUAAAGUGAUGGAUAUAAACCUAUGUGGAUGUUGAGCAUGUAUGUGGAAAUAAUUUGAUCCUAUAAGCUGAGACACUAAUGCACUAUAUGUUUGAAGAUUAAAAAAAAAAUUCUUAAAUUAAUUUUCCCAAUAUAGCACCUUUAAUGUGACAUUAGUGGGGGUUUUUUUCUUCUGUUUUUUUUUUCUCUUGAAUUUUAUUCAUUUUAAGGUCACAUUAAAGACAUGGUUUAUCUUGGCUUUCUAUUACAAAACCCUGUAAUAGAAGUUUCAAUAACUUUUUAGCCACUGUGCUUCUUGAUAUGAAUUAAAUGAAAGAUAUUCGUGUUUUAGGAUGCUUUAGGACAGGAUAUGUGGGAGAUAAUCAAAAUACUGAUUCUAUAGUUCAUAAUACUGCUUCUCUAAACAUUCUCUUAAGUUUCUAGAGUCGUAUUUUCCAGAUGUUUGAGCUCUUUCGUAUGAAAACCUUGAAGCCAAAAGCGUACAACCAUCACCAGCACGUUCAGCGAGACUCUGAAGCCCCCUGAGAUCUCCUGUUUUCAAAGAAUCAUGUGGUUACGUUCCCAGUGUCUCAGUCGCACCUUCGACCCUCUGAACACGCGUGCUUCGCCCACAUCCUCCCCCCUGUACGACCCUCCCGUAAGCUCACAAGCCUCUGAAGACCUCCGACUGAGGGUUGGGGGGGGUGUUGAGAACUUAAAGCCUGCAGCCCAAACUCCUACAUGAAGCCUCUUACCUCUUACAUACCUUAGAAUGUAGCAGCUGAACCUUUACAGCAUUUAACCUUUUCUCCAUUUCUGUGUUAAAAAUGUUUUUUUUUUUAUGUCUGUUUGUUAAAUAAAAGUACUCAGUUUUUUUUAUACAGGUUUUAAAACAUGCAAUUCUACUCUUUUAAUGCACAAGUAAAUGUAUAUAUAUAAACAGUUUUCAUGACCGUAACGUAAUAUAAUGUAUAAUAUAGAGCUAGACAAUAUAUCAAAAAUACUUAAAAAAUUAAAUGAAUGUAGAAAAAAAAAAAGUUAGAUGUUGUUUGUAUUUAUUGUAUAAAAAAAAAAUGACAAAACCUAAAGGAAAAACAAGAAAUUCUACAAUUUUGAAGAAUCAGUACCAAAUUUUAGCUGCUUCCAAUAAAUUAAAAAAAAAAAAUAAUAAUAAUAAAAAAUACCUACACAAUAUCUCAGAAAAUUGAGAUAUUCAGACAUAAUUUAUCAUAAUAUCAAUAUUACAUAGUCAUAUCGCCCAGGCUCUAUAGAUGGAAAUUUUUCUUUGUUUAAAUGUGCUA